AGAACGAACGCUGGCGGCAGGCUUAACACAUGCAAGUCGAACGCGUGUAGCAAUACACGAGUGGCGCACGGGUGAGUAACGCGUGGAUAUCUGCCUUUUGGUUCGGAAUAACCCCGGGAAACUGGGGCUAAUACCGGAUGGUUCCUACGGGAUAAAGAUUUAUCGCCAAAAGACGAGUCCGCGUACGAUUAGCUAGUUGGUGAGGUAAUGGCUCACCAAGGCGACGAUCGUUAGCUGGUCUGAGAGGACGAUCAGCCACACUGGGACUGAGACACGGCCCAGACUCCUACGGGAGGCAGCAGUGGGGAAUAUUGGACAAUGGGGGCAACCCUGAUCCAGCCAUGCCGCGUGAGUGAUGAAGGCCUUCGGGUUGUAAAGCUCUUUUGGCGGGGACGAUGAUGACGGUACCCGCAGAAUAAGCCCCGGCUAACUUCGCGCCAGCAGCCGC
This 448-nucleotide ribosomal RNA is filed under the name uncultured bacterium. RNAcentral's name for it is "SSU rRNA". It matches the Rfam family "Bacterial small subunit ribosomal RNA", at positions 26 to 518 of the family's 1533-position model. The record is from RNAcentral.